RNAcentral lists this unclassified non-coding RNA (286 nucleotides) under fungal sp. RNAcentral describes it as "partial contains small subunit ribosomal RNA, internal transcribed spacer 1, and 5.8S ribosomal RNA". The stretch from base 1 to 47 matches the Rfam family "Eukaryotic small subunit ribosomal RNA", at positions 1785 to 1831 of the family's 1831-position model. The record is from RNAcentral. Lineage: Eukaryota; Fungi.
AAAGUCGUAACAAGGUUUCCGUAGGUGAACCUGCGGAAGGAUCAUUAACGAGUUUGAAAAGAGUUGUAGCUGGCCUUCUGAGGUAAUGUGCACACUCUGCUCAUCCACACACACCUGUGCACAUCGAUAGUCUUUUUUUUUUUGAAGGGGGGAAACUAGCCCUUUGGGUGAAAGUCCACCCUCCUUAGAAAAAGCUAUUUUUACACAUACACUUUUAGUUAAGAAUGUAUCUAUUGCUAUUAAAACGCAUUAAAUAUAACUUUCAACAACGGAUCUCUUGGCUCUC